This 525-nucleotide ribosomal RNA is filed under the name Clostridioides difficile. RNAcentral's name for it is "bacterial SSU rRNA". It matches the Rfam family "Bacterial small subunit ribosomal RNA", at positions 1 to 551 of the family's 1533-position model. The record is from RNAcentral. Lineage: Bacteria; Bacillati; Bacillota; Clostridia; Peptostreptococcales; Peptostreptococcaceae.
UUUUAUUUGAGAGUUUGAUCCUGGCUCAGGAUGAACGCUGGCGGCGUGCCUAACACAUGCAAGUUGAGCGAUUUAUUUCGGUAAAGAGCGGCGGACGGGUGAGUAACGCGUGGGUAACCUACCCUGUACACACGGAUAACAUACCGAAAGGUAUGCUAAUACGGGAUAAUAUAUUUGAGAGGCAUCUCUUAAAUAUCAAAGGUGAGCCAGUACAGGAUGGACCCGCGUCUGAUUAGCUAGUUGGUAAGGUAACGGCUUACCAAGGCGACGAUCAGUAGCCGACCUGAGAGGGUGAUCGGCCACAUUGGAACUGAGACACGGUCCAAACUCCUACGGGAGGCAGCAGUGGGGAAUAUUGCACAAUGGGCGAAAGCCUGAUGCAGCAACGCCGCGUGAGUGAUGAAGGCCUUCGGGUCGUAAAACUCUGUCCUCAAGGAAGAUAAUGACGGUACUUGAGGAGGAAGCCCCGGCUAACUACGUGCCAGCAGCCGCGGUAAUACGUAGGGGGCUAGCGUUAUCCGGAUU